Molecule: ribosomal RNA, 254 nt
Filed under: uncultured bacterium
Lineage: Bacteria
Description: partial 16S ribosomal RNA
Rfam family: Bacterial small subunit ribosomal RNA
Source: RNAcentral
UACGUAGGGCGCAAGCGUUGUCCGGAAUCAUUGGGCGUAAAGAGCUCGUAGGCGGUGUGUCGCGUCGGCCGUGAAAACCUGCAGCUUAACUGUGGGCGUGCGGUCGAUACGGGCAUCACUGGAGUUCGGCAGGGGAGACUGGAAUUCCUGGUGUAGCGGUGAAAUGCGCAGAUAUCAGGAGGAACACCAGUGGCGAAGGCGGUGGUCUGGGCCGGAACUGACGCUGAGGAGCGAAAGCGUGGGUAGCAAACAGG